This 437-nucleotide ribosomal RNA is filed under the name uncultured Planctomycetota bacterium. RNAcentral's name for it is "bacterial SSU rRNA". It matches the Rfam family "Bacterial small subunit ribosomal RNA", at positions 383 to 810 of the family's 1533-position model. The record is from RNAcentral. Lineage: Bacteria; Pseudomonadati; Planctomycetota.
GUGACGAAGCGACGCCGCGUGAGCGAAGAAGGCCCUAGGGUUGUAAAGCUCUGUCAGGGGUUAAGAAAUGCAGGCAGGUUAAUACCCUGUUUGUUUGACAAAGGCCCCAAAGGAAGCCACGGCUAACUCUGUGCCAGCAGCCGCGGUAAUACAGAGGUGGCGAGCGUUGUUCGGUAUUAUUGGGCGUAAAGAGCACGUAGGUGGUUUUGUAAGUCAGAUGUGAAAGCCUUCUGUUCAAAGGAAGAACGGCAUCUGAAACUGCUGAUCUCGAGUGUAGGAGGGGAGAGUGGAACUUCUGGUGGAGCGGUGAAAUGCGUAGAUAUCAGAAGGAACGUCGGCGGCGAAAGCGACUCUCUGGCCUAUUACUGACACUGAGUGUGCGAAAGUUAGGGGAGCAAACGGGAUUAGAUACCCCGGUAGUCCUAACCGUAAACGAU